RNAcentral lists this ribosomal RNA (496 nucleotides) under uncultured bacterium. Its description in RNAcentral is "partial 16S ribosomal RNA". It matches the Rfam family "Bacterial small subunit ribosomal RNA", at positions 29 to 507 of the family's 1533-position model. The record is from RNAcentral.
AUGAACGCUGGCGGCGUGCCUAAUCCCUGCAAGUCGAGCGAACAGACGAGGAGCUUGCUCCUCUGACGUUAGCGGCGGACGGGUGAGUAACACGUGGAUAACCUACCUAUAAGACUGGGAUAACUUCGGGAAACCGGAGCUAAUACCGGAUAAUAUAUUGAACCGCAUGGUUCAAUAGUGAAAGACGGUUUUGCUGUCACUUAUAGAUGGAUCCGCGCCGCAUUAGCUAGUUGGUAAGGUAACGGCUUACCAAGGCGACGAUGGGUAGCCGACCUGAGAGGGUGGUCGGCCACACUGGAACUGAGACACGGUCCAGACUCCUACGGGAGGCAGCAGUAGGGAAUCUUCCGCAAUGGGCGAAAGCCUGACGGAGCAACGCCGCGUGAGUGAUGAAGGUCUUCGGAUCGUAAAACUCUGUUAUUAGGGAAGAACAAAUGUGUAAGUAACUAUGCACGUCUUGACGGUACCUAAUCAGAAAGCCACGGCUAACUACGUG